This 440-nucleotide ribosomal RNA is filed under the name uncultured bacterium. RNAcentral describes it as "partial 16S ribosomal RNA". It matches the Rfam family "Bacterial small subunit ribosomal RNA", at positions 338 to 795 of the family's 1533-position model. The record is from RNAcentral.
CCUACGGGAGACAGCAGUGGGGAAUAUUGCACAAUGGGCGAAACCCUGAUGCAGCGACGCCGCGUGAGCGAUGAAGGAUUUCGGUAUGGAAAGCUCUAUCAGCAGGGAAGAAAAUGACGGUACCUGACUAAGAAUCCCCGGCUAACUACGUGCCAGCAGCCGCGGUAAGACGUCGGGGGCAAGCGUUAUCCGGAUUUACGGGGUGUAAAGGGAGCGUAGACGGGCCUGCAAGCCAGAUGUGAAAGCCCGGGGCUCAACCCCGGGACUGCAUUUGGAACUGUCAGGCUAGAGUGUCGGAGAGGCAGGCGGAAUUCCUGGUGUAGCGGUGAAAUGCGUAGAUAUUAGGAGGAACACCAGUGGCGAAGGCGGCCUGCUGGACGAUGACUGACGUUGAGGCUCGAAAGCGUGGGGAGCGAACAGGAUUAGAUACCCGGGUAGUC